UUUUUUUUUUUCACUUUUUAGGGCCACACUCUUGGCAUAUGGACGUUCCCAGGCUAAGGGUCAAAUCAGAGCUCUGGCUGUUUAGCCUACACCACAGCUAUAGCAACAUCAGAUCUGAGCCACAUCUUUGACACCACACCACAGUUCAUGGCAAUGCCAGAUCCUUAACACACUGGGCAAGGCCAGGGAUCAAACCUACAACCUCAUGGUUACUAGUCAGAUUCGUUUCCACUGUGUCACAACAGGAACUCCAUACCCAGUAUAAACAUUAGGAAAUUAAUAUUGAAAGCUAUCAAUAAGGAGUAAUUUGUGCGUGGCAUGUUAUAAAGCAUCUGGCUCAUAUUAAAGCACAAAAGCUUUUAUUUCUUUAAUAGUAUUAUUGAUAAUAGUUGCAUGAUUGAUGUCUCAGAGACUCAGUGAGAUUUAAGCUACCGUCACAUCAGCAAAAUGACAUUUAAAUAUCUGGUUGCAGGUCUGUAGGCAUGUGCAUGUGUGCUCCUGAGAGAAAGAGGAAGAAUGAGAAUAAACUGGGCCACUGGGUUUCCUUUAACAAAGUACAUUCUUUUUCAAGGUACAACAAGCAAGUUAUUACCGACUGUCUUUAAUUAUUUUUUUCCAAUUUUCCAUAGAUGGAAGAAGGAAAGAAAGAAGUGAAACAAACUAUGGGACCUCAGGAUUUCUUCUGCUGAAUGAACGCUGAUAUGAAAAUUCUGAAUCAUUGUUUCAUCCAGUUUAUACUAUUCAUGGACUAAUGAACAGGAAGACUACAGAUAAAUUGAGUGGCUAGUGAAUCACAUUGUUUUCCACCUCCUGAACAGCAAAGACAGCCCCUGAUUCAUCCAGCUCCUACCCCAUCAUUGUGCCAACCAGCUAAAUCAAAUGGUUAACACCAAAGCACUCAGUAAUUGACAAAUAUUUCCCCUAUUUUGUGUGUAGAAAGAUUAAAGAGCCCAUUGCUGAGAAAAUUAUAAACUGUUAUUAUAUCAUAAAAGGCCCAGAAGAUCAAUUCUAGAGGACCUAGGUGUAAAUUGGCUGGCAUUAGACAUCAUGGUAAAAAGAACACACUUCCUAGACCUGCAGGAGAUAAUUAGGCCCAAUUACUAGGUGAAGUCACUGUAUUCAUUUAAAAACCAGAUAAUGUAUCAAAGUGCGUGUGUGUGUGUGUGUGUGUGUGUGUGCACGCAUGCCAUAAAAAUUGUGGUCUAACAAAAUUUUAACUGUGAUCACGUAAGUAUUCUUUUUUAUUAAUAAGAAAAGUAAUAGUCACUAUAAAAAAUUAGCAUAUCCAGGUAAAUGUAUUGGAAAAGCAUAAAUCGUCCAUGAAACCACCACUCAGAAAUAACCAAUGUGAAAAUUAUAUUGUAGUUUUUCUAGGAUUUCUCCUAAGCACGUGCUUGUCUCUCUCUCACACACACAAACACACACACACACACAUACACACUCUAUAUAUAUUUCUCUCCACUAAAAUACAGAUCAUUCUUUGGAACGCAUUUUUGGAAAGCAUUUUUUCCAAUAGCGUUAAAUAUCAAGUUAAAAAAAAAAACAUUUCAUUCUAUGGAUGUGCUAUAAACAUAUAUGUAACAACUUAUCAAUUUUUGAUAACCUCUAUGGAUCAUUAUUUCUCCACAUCUCCAAUUUUUUUCAUUGAUAUAAACUCCUAGAACUUUUCAUUUAUGGUUUUUUUUCUGCUAUCUACAUGAUCAUCUCCUGUGUGAGUAACCCCUUAAAUGUUAGAUUUGGUUUUCACUAUCUUGUAUUUGCUUCCCCUGUUCUCCUUGGACAGGCACACUGGCCUCCAUGGCUCCAUUGUUAUCAAGUAAACAUAGAUCCCUGUCAAAGGUGCAGCUAUUUGGAUUGAUAUUAAAAAUAUAAACUGGGAGUUCCCAUCAUGGCGCAGUGGUUAACGAAUCCAAAUAGGAACCAUGAGGUUGUGGGUUCGGUCCCUGCCCUUGCUCAGUGGGUUAACGAUCCGGCGUUGCCGUGAGCUGUGGUGUAGGUUGCAGACGCGGCUCAGAUCCAGCGUUGCUGUGGCUCUGGCGUAGGCCGGUGGCUACAGCUCCGAUUCGACCCCUAGCCUGGGAACCUCCAUAUGCCGCGGCAGUGGCCCAAUAUAUAGCAAAAAAACAAAACAAAACAAAAUAUAUAUAUAUAUAUAUAAAACCUGAAUUUUAAGUGAAGAUUAGAAUGUGCAUGCAGAGGAAUAUUAAACUUAAUUUAGAAAAAUAAUACUGUCUUAUUCCUUUACUUCUAUUUAGGCUUUCUUCUUUUCGCUUCUGAUAUUUGGUUAAUAGUAUCACCAAACCACCUAGUUGCUCAACUUAGGAAUCAUCAGAUCCUUUUGAAUUAUCCUUCUCUGUUGCUAUUUCUCUCCAUAACUCAUUUCUAAUCUAUUUUUC
Molecule: long non-coding RNA, 2396 nt
Filed under: Sus scrofa (pig)
Lineage: Eukaryota; Metazoa; Chordata; Mammalia; Artiodactyla; Suidae
Description: lncRNA (ENSSSCG00040069076.1)
Source: RNAcentral